UGAGGAAUAUUGGUCAAUGGGCGAGAGCCUGAACCAGCCAAGUAGCGUGCAGGAUGACGGCCCUAUGGGUUGUAAACUGCUUUUAUGUGGGGAUAAAGUGCGUGACGUGUCAUGCAUUGCAGGUACCACAUGAAUAAGGACCGGCUAAUUCCGUGCCAGCAGCCGCGGUAAUACGGAAGGUCCGGGCGUUAUCCGGAUUUACUGGGUUUAAAGGGAGCGUAGGCUGUCUAUUAAGCGUGUUGUGAAAUAUACCGGCUCAACCGGUGGCUUGCAGCGCGAACUGGUCGACUUGAGUAUGCAGGAAGUAGGCGGAAUUCAUGGUGUAGCGGUGAAAUGCUUAGAUAUCAUGACGAACUCCGAUUGCGCAGGCAGCUUACUGUAGCAUAACUGACGCUGAUGCUCGAAAGUGCGGGUAUCAAACAGG
This 424-nucleotide ribosomal RNA is filed under the name Fusobacteriota bacterium. Its description in RNAcentral is "Fusobacteria bacterium partial 16S ribosomal RNA". It matches the Rfam family "Bacterial small subunit ribosomal RNA", at positions 355 to 776 of the family's 1533-position model. Lineage: Bacteria; Fusobacteriati; Fusobacteriota. The record is from RNAcentral.